This 547-nucleotide ribosomal RNA is filed under the name uncultured Desulfovibrio sp. RNAcentral's name for it is "bacterial SSU rRNA". It matches the Rfam family "Bacterial small subunit ribosomal RNA", at positions 901 to 1444 of the family's 1533-position model. Lineage: Bacteria; Pseudomonadati; Thermodesulfobacteriota; Desulfovibrionia; Desulfovibrionales; Desulfovibrionaceae. The record is from RNAcentral.
UCAAAGAAAUUGACGGGGGCCCGCACAAGCGGUGGAGUAUGUGGUUUAAUUCGAUGCAACGCGAAGAACCUUACCUAGGUUUGACAUCCACGGAACCCUCCCGAAAAGGAGGGGUGCCCUUCGGGGAGCCGUGAGACAGGUGCUGCAUGGCUGUCAUCAGCUCGUGUCGUGAGAUGUUGGGUUAAGUCCCGCAACGAGCGCAACCCCUAUGGAUAGUUGCCAGCAAGUAAUGUUGGGCACUCUAUUCAGACUGCCCGGGUUAACCGGGAGGAAGGUGGGGACGACGUCAAGUCAUCAUGGCCCUUACGCCUAGGGCUACACACGUACUACAAUGGCGCGCACAAAGGGGAGCGAGACCGCGAGGUGGAGCCAAUCCCAAAAAACGCGUCCCAGUCCGGAUUGCAGUCUGCAACUCGACUGCAUGAAGUUGGAAUCGCUAGUAAUUCGAGAUCAGCAUGCUCGGGUGAAUGCGUUCCCGGGCCUUGUACACACCGCCCGUCACACCACGAAAGUCGGUUUUACCCGAAGCCGGUGAGCCAACCAGCAA